Molecule: long non-coding RNA, 347 nt
Organism: Osmia bicornis bicornis
Lineage: Eukaryota; Metazoa; Arthropoda; Insecta; Hymenoptera; Megachilidae
Exons: 3
Source: RefSeq, a predicted model, not a curated record
GUUUAUCACGUGCGUUUAAAAAAUAUCCGUUACAAAAUAUGAAAUAUCCAAGAAAUAUACAAUUCAGUUUCUGUAACACAUCAGGACAGUUAAGUCUGUGUAAUUACAAUUAGAUGAAAAUAAAUUUGAUAUUUUAUUUGGAUGAGAGUAAAAUGGUGUGGAGAAUCAAAAGAAGAGAUAAAACAUAGAGAAUCCUAAUGGUACAGAGUUCUGUGGACAAAUGGCUACAUUCUCCAACAUUUGGCUGAUAUGAAUCCAGGUAAACCAUGUCAUCUUUCACGUCGUCGUACGCUGGACCAAGGAAGAUGCUGAGGGUAGCAUCCAUUUUAGCAUCGGAGUUGAUGGUG